Molecule: ribosomal RNA, 497 nt
Filed under: uncultured bacterium
Lineage: Bacteria
Description: partial 16S ribosomal RNA
Rfam family: Bacterial small subunit ribosomal RNA
Source: RNAcentral
GAUGAACGCUGGCGGCGUGCCUAAUACAUGCAAGUCGAGCGAACAGACGAGGAGCUUGCUCCUCUAACGUUAGCGGCGGACGGGUGAGUAACACGUGGAUAACCUACCUAUAAGACUGGGAUAACUUCGGGAAACCGGAGCUAAUACCGGAUAAUAUAUUGAACCGCAUCGUUCAAUAGUGAAAGACGGUUUUGCUGUCACUUAUAGAUGGAUCCGCGCCGCAUUAGCUAGUUGGUAAGGUAACAGCUUACCAAGGCAACGAUGCGUAGCCGACCUGAGAGGGUGAUCGGCCACACUGGAACUGAGACACGGUCCAGACUCCUACGGGAGGCAGCAGUAGGGAAUCUUCCGCAAUGGGCGAAAGCCUGACGGAGCAACGCCGCGUGAGUGAUGAAGGUCUUCGGAUCGUAAAACUCUGUUAUUAGGGAAGAACAAAUGUGUAAGUAACUAUGCACGUCUUGACGGUACCUAAUCAGAAAGCCACGGCUAACUACGUG